Labeo rohita (rohu) is the source of this 657-nucleotide long non-coding RNA. RefSeq lists it as uncharacterized. The record is from RefSeq and is a predicted model, not a curated record. NCBI's taxonomy places the organism in Eukaryota, Metazoa, Chordata, Actinopteri, Cypriniformes, Cyprinidae. The transcript has 4 exons.
CUGGCCCCCCGACUGAGCCUGGUUUCUCCUAAGGUUUUUUUUCUCCAUUUCUGUCACCAAUGGAGUUUUGGUUCCUUGCCGCUGUUGCCUCUGGCUUGCUUAGUUGGGGACACUUAAAGUAAAGGACGAUUUUCGAACUCACUUUGAGGCUAACACCACAGAAGCCUACUUGUGUGAGGAGGUGAUUUUCUCAGCUUCUUUAGAAAAGAGGGAAAUGCAAUUUAAGACAAGUCCGGAACUCAAACCAACUCUGGAGUUAACGACACAGAAGCCUGCUUGUGUGAGGAGGCGAUCUUCUCAGCUUCUUCAUAAGAGAGGGAAAGAUGGUUUAAGUCAAGUAAAGGCCACUGUUGAAGAACAGGUGGUGACUGGGAUGAAUGCUGGACAAAGAGGAGAAAUGAUCUUUCCCCCAAAGUGAUGCAACAGUGAUUUUAAAGGAGGAGGCCACCCUUGAUAAUGUCAAAGAUGUUGGACGCCUUUGCUGAGCUGAUAGGGCUUCUUCAUGACUACAUCAAUUAUCUUAAAGGGAUAAUGUAAAUUGUCAGUGAUGCAUGUUCUGUAUGCAAUCAUGGACUAUAAAAAACAAACCGUAAGUGUAUAGUCUGUAAAAACAAAAUGUCAAAUGCUUCUUCUGUGUUGUUUAGUAGAAAUGGCGUU